GCUCGUUGCUGAUCUCCACGCAGCGGCUUGAAUAUCUGUAGAUGAUCCUCCAAUGGGGGAAUCUUCAGCUCCCCAGUUCUCAUCACUCUCCUGAAUCACUGCUUUCUUCCAUGGAUUUGCUUUCUGUACAUCCCAGGAUGAGCUGCUAGGUAGUUUUCCCCAUGCAUUACCACCGAGUGAUGGAGAUUGCUGACCGUUCUGGACGACCACUGCUCCAUGGUAUACAGAACCGUGGUCCAGCCUCCUCAUGGCAGUGGCGGCUCGGGCAUGGUCGUGGAACACGGCCAAAGCGUUCUUGUCAUUCAGCCAAACAAGCUCACAUUCACCUCCAAAUCUCAGCACCAAAGCGCUGAUAUUCGCCUCCCUCGGGAGAUCCAGUAAUGACACCACCAGCCUAGGAUCCAUAUCCACCAGCGGAUCAAAGGACGGUGGGUGAGGCCCGCCUAGCGAGACAGCGCCACCCCUAGCUCCAAUGAUUCGUGUUGGCGGUUUUGACUUUUGUGUUACGUGGACCACUGUAAACCGUUUUGGCUCCCACCCUGCAUUGCUAACCGCAAGUUUCCAUCUCUCAGCUAGAAGUCUAACCGUGUCUCGUUUAUCCUUUUGCAUCGGGCAGAAUACAUGGACCUUAAGGGUGCUUGUGCUUCCUCUAGCCUUCCCAAGUACCAGGUACUUGAAGCGCUCUUCAACAGCCAGUACCCACUUAGGAUCACGCCUAUAGAUGUCCGAAAUAAUCUCUGUCAUAGCAGCAUUCUCGCUAAAAUGUAAAGAGUCCAGAUUUGGGGGAGUGAUAUCAAACGCGUCUUGAAGAACACGCUUACGCUCCAGUUUAGCACACUCAUCAUCACACGAAAGCUUUCGCUGCCCGAGAGGGAUUCGGCUUCCAUUCGACUCAACAGGCUGAAGCGAAGUUGGAAGCUUCUGCAAAACAGAGGCUUCAUAGAUAGAAUCAACACUAAGAUUGCUGGUACUUCCUCCUCCCGCAUCGCAAGGAACAGUAGCGGUUAUGCGACCACACGAACAUGUUAUUGUGACUGGAAAUUCACAUCUUGUGUCAGGGCAAGGCUGCGAAGGAUGGCAAAGAGCUGCACAAGUGUGCCUGCAAUCUCUUCUAGGAGCACUACAAGUCUGUCCACAUGUAACACGCAGAGCUGCUUCAGAUUCAUUGUAAGUGUCACAUGCCUCCGGGUGGCAAGUUCUGGCACAAGCAUGCAUGCCACAACGCCUCGUCUUUCCACAAAUCUUGUUACAUCUGAUGUCUUUCAGCCCACAAGGUAUGUUUCUCAGAACCACGUGACCACCAACGCAUUUCUUUUCCACUGGGGCAGAACAAGGAGGGCAAUCUCCAAAAUGGCAUCCAUGCGUAGCAGAAUGGCCACAAGGCUGAGGAAUGGAGCAUGGAAGCUGGCAGCUAGGAACAGGCGUCCCGCAUGGUAGUGGUGGAGGAAUCGAAGUAUUUCCACACGCACAUGUUAGAUCAGUGAAUAUCAUCUCGAGGCAAGGAGGGCAAUGGCCACUAUGGCACAAAGAUUCACAGGAAUGCUGCCCGCACCUUAGCUUCUUCCCACAAGGUAAUUGGCAUACGUGUUCGUCCCAAUCACCGGAUAGAUCAUUCUUCUUCGCGUUCAAGAGAGGGCAGCAACGCUCACUACAUCUAUGUCUCCCACAAUUCUUCUUACGCCCACAUGGUUUAGAACACACAAACUUAUCCGUCUCUGAAGAAGUUGUUAUGUAGCAUUCCACAGUCCUGGAUGUCGAACCACACCGGCAUUUCUGGUUGACUUGCACUAAACAAGGAGGGCAAUCACCUGAAUGGCACAACUCGUUGCAAGUAUGUAAUCCACAAGGAAGAAGCUUACUGCAUAGGUUUGAGCAAGAAGGAAUUGGGUCCAAGCAACUCUGCCUGGUCUGUUCUUCUAGACGCGUUUUCCCACAAUAGCACGUCUUAACUCUACUCGUUGCUGAUCUCCACGCAGCGGCUUGAAUAUCUGUAGAUGAUCCUCCAAUGGGGGAAUCUUCAGCUCCCCAGUUCUCAUCACUCUCCUGAAUCACUGCUUUCUUCCAUGGAUUUGCUUUCUGUACAUCCCAGGAUGAGCUGCUAGGUAGUUUUCCCCAUGCAUUACCACCGAGUGAUGGAGAUUGCUGACCGUUCUGGACGACCACUGCUCCAUGGUAUACAGAACCGUGGUCCAGCCUCCUCAUGGCAGUGGCGGCUCGGGCAUGGUCGUGGAACACGGCCAAAGCGUUCUUGUCAUUCAGCCAAACAAGCUCACAUUCACCUCCAAAUCUCAGCACCAAAGCGCUGAUAUUCGCCUCCCUCGGGAGAUCCAGUAAUGACACCACCAGCCUAGGAUCCAUAUCCACCAGCGGAUCAAAGGACGGUGGGUGAGGCCCGCCUAGCGAGACAGCGCCACCCCUAGCUCCAAUGAUUCGUGUUGGCGGUUUUGACUUUUGUGUUACGUGGACCACUGUAAACCGUUUUGGCUCCCACCCUGCAUUGCUAACCGCAAGUUUCCAUCUCUCAGCUAGAAGUCUAACCGUGUCUCGUUUAUCCUUUUGCAUCGGGCAGAAUACAUGGACCUUAAGGGUGCUUGUGCUUCCUCUAGCCUUCCCAAGUACCAGGUACUUGAAGCGCUCUUCAACAGCCAGUACCCACUUAGGAUCACGCCUAUAGAUGUCCGAAAUAAUCUCUGUCAUAGCAGCAUUCUCGCUAAAAUGUAAAGAGUCCAGAUUUGGGGGAGUGAUAUCAAACGCGUCUUGAAGAACACGCUUACGCUCCAGUUUAGCACACUCAUCAUCACACGAAAGCUUUCGCUGCCCGAGAGGGAUUCGGCUUCCAUUCGACUCAACAGGCUGAAGCGAAGUUGGAAGCUUCUGCAAAACAGAGGCUUCAUAGAUAGAAUCAACACUAAGAUUGCUGGUACUUCC
RNAcentral lists this long non-coding RNA (2928 nucleotides) under Brassica napus (rape). RNAcentral describes it as "long non-coding RNA (BNAP_LNC016865)". Lineage: Eukaryota; Viridiplantae; Streptophyta; Magnoliopsida; Brassicales; Brassicaceae. The record is from RNAcentral.